RNAcentral lists this transfer RNA (74 nucleotides) under Myxococcales bacterium. RNAcentral describes it as "tRNA-Met". It matches the Rfam family "tRNA". From Rfam's summary of the family: Transfer RNA (tRNA) molecules are approximately 80 nucleotides in length. Their secondary structure includes four short double-helical elements and three loops (D, anti-codon, and T loops). Further hydrogen bonds mediate the characteristic L-shaped molecular structure. tRNAs have two regions of fundamental functional importance: the anti-codon, which is responsible for specific mRNA codon recognition, and the 3' end, to which the tRNAs corresponding amino acid is attached (by aminoacyl-tRNA synthetases). tRNAs cope with the degeneracy of the genetic code in two manners: having more than one tRNA (with a specific anti-codon) for a particular amino acid; and 'wobble' base-pairing, i.e. permitting non-standard base-pairing at the 3rd anti-codon position. The record is from RNAcentral. Lineage: Bacteria; Pseudomonadati; Myxococcota; Myxococcia; Myxococcales.
AGCGGGGUAGUGUAGCCAGGCAACACACUGGGCUCAUAAUCCAGAGAUCGCGGGUUCAAAUCCAGCCUCCGCUA